Molecule: ribosomal RNA, 375 nt
Filed under: uncultured bacterium
Lineage: Bacteria
Description: bacterial SSU rRNA
Rfam family: Bacterial small subunit ribosomal RNA
Source: RNAcentral
GAUGAACGCUGGCGGCGUGCUUAACACAUGCAAGUCGAACGUGAAGGCAAUAGUAAUAUUGCCGGAAAGUGGCAAACGGGUGAGUAACACGUAGAUACCUGCCUCGCAGUGGGGGAUAACCACGGGAAACUGUGGCUAAUACCGCAUGGUCUUGGUUAAGCGGGAGCUUGACCAAGUAAAGCUUUAGGUGCUGCGAGAGGGGUCUGCGCCCGAUUAGCUGGUUGGUGAGGUAACGGCUCACCAAGGCUAUGAUCGGUAGCUGGUCUGAGAGGACGAUCAGCCACACGGGAACUGAGACACGGUCCCGACUCCUACGGGGGGCAGCAGUGAGGAAUAUUGGGCAAUGGACGCAAGUCUGACCCAGCAACGCCGCGU